RNAcentral lists this ribosomal RNA (451 nucleotides) under uncultured bacterium. Its description in RNAcentral is "bacterial SSU rRNA". It matches the Rfam family "Bacterial small subunit ribosomal RNA", at positions 354 to 796 of the family's 1533-position model. The record is from RNAcentral.
GUGGGGAAUAUUGGGCAAUGGGGGAAACCCUGACCCAGCGACGCCGCGUGGGUGAUGAAGGCCUUCGGGUCGUAAAGCCUUGUCAAGAGGAAAGAAUGUCUUCGAAGUAAAUAGCUUCGGGGAGUGACGGUACCUCUGAAGGAAGCACCGGCCAACUCCGUGCCAGCAGCCGCGGUAAGACGGAGGGUGCAAGCGUUGCUCGGAAUCAUUGGGCGUAAAGGGUGCGUAGGCGGUUUUUUAAGUCUGACGUGAAAGCCCAGGGCCUAGCCUUGGAAGCGCGCCAGAAACUGGAAGACUAGAGUGCCGGAGGGGAGAGUGGAAUUCCUGGUGUAGCGGUGAAAUGCGUAGAUAUCAGGAGGAAUACCGGUGGCGAAAGCGACUCUCUGGACGGCAACUGACGCUGAGGCACGAAAGCGUGGGGAGCAAACAGGAUUAGAUACCCGUGUAGUCC